Carica papaya (papaya) is the source of this 2473-nucleotide non-coding RNA. Lineage: Eukaryota; Viridiplantae; Streptophyta; Magnoliopsida; Brassicales; Caricaceae. The record is from RefSeq and is a predicted model, not a curated record.
CCAAAAAUACAGCCGUAUAUUGAAAAACUUGAAGAAGAAGGUGGGUCAAAUCAAAAUUCAAGAGCUGCCAUUUUCAUGACACGAAACCAAUUAAUCCCAAAAAUAUGUGUUGAAAUACAAAUCCAUUCACACCCAGUUCGCGUUUUUGUUUUGUUGCUUUCUUUUUUGUUUGUGGGUUUUCUUAGGCUGUAAAACUUUUACAGUAGAAACAGGUGGACUUGCGUGAGAAAUUGGAGGGCAAUAAGGAAAAUCCGAUAUUGUUUGACACUGAAUUUGGAUCUAAGCGCAAAGACAGGAGAUGCUCGCAAUGCAAGUCAAAGACCGACCACGUUUCAUUACUCAAAUCUUGCGGCAAUAACAAGCCGACAAGCGGCCGACUCGUCGUGGCAGCCACUAAAAGCUCCAUCUCUCCGUCCAGUCCUUACGAAUUUUGUUCUUAUUCUGGCCUUUUGCCAAAGUUCCCUCUGCCAUCACAACAAGUAAGAGCAACAGCAAUACCAGUUUCCGAACCAAUCGAACAAGCUCCUCCUCCUCGUAAUUUGACAGCAAACGAGGAUUUGAUUUUGUGGACGUCCACGAGGACGAAGACGACCACGGCGUCAACGGCCGUACUGUUAAGAAGAGAAUGUCAGAUCAUUGAAAUCUCUUAUGUGAAGAAUUGGGAAAUGAAGAAGACGAACCCCUGAAAAUGAUUAUCAUUGCCCUCUAACGCAAUGACAGUGAGUAGUGAGGUGUAGGUGGAUCAGAAGCAUCCAACUUCCAAGCCGAGGAAGAAAAAAGCAGAAGAAGGGAGUAGUUCUGCAGUGCCAGCAGGAAAAACAAGUACUCCAAUACGAAAGAAGGCAGUCAGGCCAAGGAAAAGUAAGGUGGAUGGGGAACAGAUAAGGGAAGUAGCAUGUGACAUUAUCAAGUAGCAGCAUGAUGGGUGCUGAAGAAUUUAUCAUACGAGAAAAUGAAAAAGGCAAUCAAGUACUCCAGUACGGAAGAAGGUAUGCAGCCAAGAAAAAAUAUGGUGGAUCGGGAACAAUUGCAGCUGGUUGAUUUGCAGGACAACAGGAUAUCAUCAGUGACCUUGAAUUCUGAAUCUACAGAUUCAUUAAUGUGAGAUGGUUGAUUGACCUAAUUAAUUAGUGAUAGGAAUGGAAUCAUGGGUCUGUGUACUUGUCUAACAGCAAGUGUUCAGACUUGUAGGAAACCCAGUGUGCACGACUGCUCUAUCAAAUACUAACUACUAUCAGCUUCAGCAGCAACCCACAAAGCCGUAUUCUACCAGUUUGGCAAACUGUGGAAGCAAAUUGUGUCCGCUUGAUCAGAAGUUGAGCCCCCAGAGCUGUGAGUGUGGUUAUCCAUAUGAGGAGACAUUGUACUUCAGAGGACCUUCCUUUAGGGACUUAUCGAAUGUGAACUUGUUCCAUUCUCGGAUGGUGGAGGAGACAACAAGGAAGGGAAAGGGAAAGAGAAAAAGGGUGGAAGAAGAGUCCAAUAAGAAGAGUUUUGAAGAAGAUCUAUUCAUGAUGAUGUCGCAUUAAUCAAGUAAAGGCAUUGUGAUCGAUGACAAACGCAACAAGAGAAAUAGUAAUGAGGAGCAUCAAAAGAUAUAUAUUGGUGGUCUUUAUGGAAAAACCAAGAAGGACCUCAAACUCUUCUAUUAAUCUAAGUCUAGAAUCAUUUAUAAAGGAUGAAGCAUCAUGGAUACUGAAGAAUUUAUCAUAUGAGAAAAGGUAAAAGGCAAUAUAUAUGUACAUAGUUGGGAUGAUAUAUAUAUAUAUGUAUAUAUCUAUAUAUGCGCAUAAACUUAAGUGUUUUUUUUUUAAAUAUAAUCAUGUUUGGUAAUAAAUAAAGAGAAAAGUAUCUGCAAAUGAAAAUUUUAUCAUACCAGAAAGAGAGAACAAUAAUCAAGAUAUGCCCAUAUUUAUAUAUAGUGUUAUAUAUAUAUAUACACAUAUUUAGGUACAAGAACUUAUAGGAGACACGAUUUAGGAUGUAAUUCAUAUCAAUCAAGUAUAAGAACCUAUUGUAAUAUAUAUGCACAUAUUUAUAUAUUACAUAGUUGAUGUUAUAUAUAUGUGUAUUAUUUACAUAUUUGUUGAUAAAAACUAGAGAUCGCAGAGGAUCCCCAAACCAAACCCACGAUACAUGGGUUAACCGUAGAUAAAGGACCGACCUUUUGUGCAUCUUUUACACGUGCUUCACUUCAGCACAUUUCGCACGUGCUUGCAACCAACUCCAACAAAAGAGGUUACCCAAAAUCUCGGCCAAGCUACUCUCCACUUUUAGAUUUUCAGUAUUUAUUUGAUUUUAUUGAUUUGCUUCAAUCUUUAGUUCUUAUCUUAAGUUGUAACUCUGUCUAUUUAAAGGCAGCACAAUUCAUUAAUAAAACAGCUCAUAAUUAUUCAAAUCUUCUGGUAUUUUCUCACAAAAACAGAAAAACCCUUACCCUUUCUUAAGCCUUACCCUUACCCUUACCCUUUUC